RNAcentral lists this ribosomal RNA (432 nucleotides) under uncultured bacterium. RNAcentral's name for it is "partial 16S ribosomal RNA". It matches the Rfam family "Bacterial small subunit ribosomal RNA", at positions 29 to 506 of the family's 1533-position model. The record is from RNAcentral.
AACGAACGCUGGCGGCAUGCCUAACACAUGCAAGUCGAACGAGACCUUCGGGUCUAGUGGCGCACGGGUGCGUAACGCGUGGGAACCUUCCCUUAGGUUCGGAAUAACUCCCCGAAAGGGGUGCUAAUACCGGAUAAUGUCUUCGGACCAAAGAUUUAUCGCCUUUGGAUGGGCCCGCGUUGGAUUAGCUAGUUGGUAGGGUAAAAGCCUACCAAGGCGACGAUCCAUAGCUGGUCUGAGAGGAUGAUCAGCCACACUGGGACUGAGACACGGCCCAGACUCCUACGGGAGGCAGCAGUGGGGAAGAUUGGACAAUGGGCGAAAGCCUGAUCCAGCAAUGCCGCGUGAGUGAUGAAGGCCUGAGGGUUGUAAAGCUCUUUUACCCGGGAUGAUAAUGACAGUACCGGGAGAAUAAGCUCCGGCUAACUCCGU